This 1403-nucleotide ribosomal RNA is filed under the name Escherichia coli. RNAcentral describes it as "partial 23S ribosomal RNA". It matches the Rfam family "Bacterial large subunit ribosomal RNA", at positions 1564 to 2925 of the family's 2925-position model. The record is from RNAcentral. Lineage: Bacteria; Pseudomonadati; Pseudomonadota; Gammaproteobacteria; Enterobacterales; Enterobacteriaceae.
UGAUGACGAGGCACUACGGUGCUGAAGCAACAAAUGCCCUGCUUCCAGGAAAAGCCUCUAAGCAUCAGGUAACAUCAAAUCGUACCCCAAACCGACACAGGUGGUCAGGUAGAGAAUACCAAGGCGCUUGAGAGAACUCGGGUGAAGGAACUAGGCAAAAUGGUGCCGUAACUUCGGGAGAAGGCACGCUGAUAUGUAGGUGAAGUCCCUCGCGGAUGGAGCUGAAAUCAGUCGAAGAUACCAGCUGGCUGCAACUGUUUAUUAAAAACACAGCACUGUGCAAACACGAAAGUGGACGUAUACGGUGUGACGCCUGCCCGGUGCCGGAAGGUUAAUUGAUGGGGUCAGCGCAAGCGAAGCUCUUGAUCGAAGCCCCGGUAAACGGCGGCCGUAACUAUAACGGUCCUAAGGUAGCGAAAUUCCUUGUCGGGUAAGUUCCGACCUGCACGAAUGGCGUAAUGAUGGCCAGGCUGUCUCCACCCGAGACUCAGUGAAAUUGAACUCGCUGUGAAGAUGCAGUGUACCCGCGGCAAGACGGAAAGACCCCGUGAACCUUUACUAUAGCUUGACACUGAACAUUGAGCCUUGAUGUGUAGGAUAGGUGGGAGGCUUUGAAGUGUGGACGCCAGUCUGCAUGGAGCCGACCUUGAAAUACCACCCUUUAAUGUUUGAUGUUCUAACGUGGACCCGUGAUCCGGGUUGCGGACAGUGUCUGGUGGGUAGUUUGACUGGGGCGGUCUCCUCCUAAAGAGUAACGGAGGAGCACGAAGGUUGGCUAAUCCUGGUCGGACAUCAGGAGGUUAGUGCAAUGGCAUAAGCCAGCUUGACUGCGAGCGUGACGGCGCGAGCAGGUGCGAAAGCAGGUCAUAGUGAUCCGGUGGUUCUGAAUGGAAGGGCCAUCGCUCAACGGAUAAAAGGUACUCCGGGGAUAACAGGCUGAUACCGCCCAAGAGUUCAUAUCGACGGCGGUGUUUGGCACCUCGAUGUCGGCUCAUCACAUCCUGGGGCUGAAGUAGGUCCCAAGGGUAUGGCUGUUCGCCAUUUAAAGUGGUACGCGAGCUGGGUUUAGAACGUCGUGAGACAGUUCGGUCCCUAUCUGCCGUGGGCGCUGGAGAACUGAGGGGGGCUGCUCCUAGUACGAGAGGACCGGAGUGGACGCAUCACUGGUGUUCGGGUUGUCAUGCCAAUGGCACUGCCCGGUAGCUAAAUGCGGAAGAGAUAAGUGCUGAAAGCAUCUAAGCACGAAACUUGCCCCGAGAUGAGUUCUCCCUGACCCUUUAAGGGUCCUGAAGGAACGUUGAAGACGACGACGUUGAUAGGCCGGGUGUGUAAGCGCAGCGAUGCGUUGAGCUAACCGGUACUAAUGAACCGUGAGGCUUAACCUUACAACGCCGAAGGUGUUU